CCUACGGGAGGCAGCAGUGAGGAAUCUUGGUCAAUGGGCGGGAGCCUGAACCAGCCAAGCCGCGUGAGGGAAGACGGUCCUAUGGAUUGUAAACUUCUUUAGGCGGGGAGCAAUGCCGGGCACGCGUGCCCGGAGGGAGAGUACCCGCAGUAUCAGCAUCGGCUAACUCCGUGCCAGCAGCCGCGGUACUGCGGAGGAUGCGAGCGUUAUCCGGAUUUAUUGGGUUUAUAGGGUGCGUAGGCUGAUUUUUUAGUCAGAGGUAAAAUGUCGGGGCUCAAUCCGGGCCGGCCGUUGAAACUGGGGAUCUUGAGUGGGCGAGAGGAGUGCGGAAGUCGUGGUGUAGCGGUGAAAUGCAUAGAUAUCAGGCAGAACACCGAUUGCGAAGGCAGCAUACCGGCGCCCGACUGACGCUGAGGCACGAAAGCGUGGGGAUCGAACAGGAUUAGAUACCCUAGUAGUC
RNAcentral lists this ribosomal RNA (460 nucleotides) under uncultured bacterium. RNAcentral describes it as "partial 16S ribosomal RNA". It matches the Rfam family "Bacterial small subunit ribosomal RNA", at positions 338 to 795 of the family's 1533-position model. The record is from RNAcentral.